RNAcentral lists this ribosomal RNA (460 nucleotides) under uncultured bacterium. RNAcentral describes it as "partial 16S ribosomal RNA". It matches the Rfam family "Bacterial small subunit ribosomal RNA", at positions 338 to 795 of the family's 1533-position model. The record is from RNAcentral.
CCUACGGGGGGCAGCAGUGAGGAAUAUUGGUCAAUGGACGAGAGUCUGAACCAGCCAAGUAGCGUGAAGGAUGACUGCCCUAUGGGUUGUAAACUUCUUUUAUAUGGGAAUAAAAUGUUCCACGUGUGGGAUUUUGUAUGUACCAUAUGAAUAAGGAUCGGCUAACUCCGUGCCAGCAGCCGCGGUAAUACGGAGGAUCCGAGCGUUAUCCGGAUUUAUUGGGUUUAAAGGGAGCGUAGGUGGAUUGUUAAGUCAGUUGUGAAAGUUUGCGGCUCAACCGUAAAAUUGCAGUUGAAACUGGCAGUCUUGAGUACGGUAGAGGUGGGCGGAAUUCGUGGUGUAGCGGUGAAAUGCUUAGAUAUCGCGCAGAACUCCGAUUGCGAAGGCAGUUCACUGGACUGCAACUGACACUGAGGCUCGAAAGUGUGGGUAUCAAACAGGAUUAGAUACCCUUGUAGUC